UUACGUACGGCUUUGUGAUCAGAGCGCCUGGACGGUUUCCAGGAGGCGCGGGUUCGAGUCCCGCUACGUUCA
Molecule: transfer RNA, 72 nt
Filed under: Heliconius melpomene (postman butterfly)
Lineage: Eukaryota; Metazoa; Arthropoda; Insecta; Lepidoptera; Nymphalidae
Description: tRNA HMEL006682
Rfam family: tRNA
About the family: Transfer RNA (tRNA) molecules are approximately 80 nucleotides in length.
Source: RNAcentral